UAUGUGUAAGUGAAAGGACCAAGACUAAGAAAGAGAUUUUAAAUAGUGUUCUUUUAGAAGUUUUUAGAAGUUUUAUUUAUAUGUUAAAAUAGAAAAUAUAAUUACAUAUGUUCAAAUCAAUCUAAUGGUUUUUGUACAAAAUAAUAACCCUGGAUAUGCUGCUGUACCUACUAUCGUAUGGUCCAGGUAGUUGGAGUUUGAAGUAAAAUAAACAAAAGUUUCAAUAUUAUUUAAAAAUAUAUUAUACAAUGAAUUCUCUACUACAACACUGCUUGUACUUAUAAAUUACAGGACUUAUAAAUAAAAACGUGUAUAAUGUCGCCUGUACGCACUUUGAUAUAUUUUUUGCUAUCGAUAAAUACAACGAAUCGUCAGAAAAAAAGGAUGGCAAUACUAGUGUGAUACCACUUCAAUUUCUAGUAGCCAAAGGCGCUUAGCACCAAGCGGGCGGUACUCUUGAUGUUACAUAAGGCAUUCGACUUUCGAUUAUUUUACUUUAUUGCUCAUGUUUAUUAUACAGGGAGUUUGAUGGACGUAUUGGAUACAUGGACACGUUUCGUGAACUUAUGAUACUUAUUUCUACAGGCACUACAGACUUGGAAAUAGUAAGACGUGAUCUUAUUCUAACAAGUAGGUAUAUAGCAGCUACUGUGAGGAUAUGUCAGACGAUACACGCAAAGUAAAUGAGAUCAGCAACUUGGUCUAACACCGAUAAUAUAAUAAGGUUAGAUGGGGGUAACAGAAACACUGGGGCAAAAGAACUGUUUCUCUUGCCCCGAGCAUAAUAAACUAUGUCUCUUACCCCACAUGACCUUAAAUAUGUGAUUAUUGAGUAAAUAAAUCUCUAAACACAUUUGUUAACACUUAACACUAAGUAUAAAUUAUUUUAGUAAAUAUCUGAAGUAAUAACCUUCGUCUUAUGCUAAUUAGGCAUCUAGGAAAUUAACAUGAAUAUCACUAGUAAUCCGUCGUUUAAUAUUGGUGUUUGUUAUCAGCCUUUAGAUGUGAUUGGCGUCAGUGACUAAUUGACUAUUUAGAAAUCGCCGCUACUUUGAAUUAUGCCGCAAUUA
Molecule: long non-coding RNA, 1070 nt
Organism: Cydia strobilella
Lineage: Eukaryota; Metazoa; Arthropoda; Insecta; Lepidoptera; Tortricidae
Exons: 2
Source: RefSeq, a predicted model, not a curated record